This 440-nucleotide ribosomal RNA is filed under the name uncultured bacterium. Its description in RNAcentral is "partial 16S ribosomal RNA". It matches the Rfam family "Bacterial small subunit ribosomal RNA", at positions 338 to 795 of the family's 1533-position model. The record is from RNAcentral.
CCUACGGGUGGCAGCAGUGGGGAAUAUUGCGCAAUGGGCGAAACCCUGAUGCAGCGACGCCGCGUGAGGGAUGAAGGACUUCGGAAUGUAAAGCUCUAUCAGCAGGGAAGAAAGUGAAGGUUACUAACUAACAAGCCAUGGCUAACUCCGGGACAGCAGCCGCGGUAAUACGUAGGGUGAGAGGGUUAUGGGGAUUUAAUGGGUGUAAAGGGAGCGUAGACGGUCCUGCAAGACAGAGGUGAAAGCCCGGGGCUAAACCUCGGGACUGCUUUUGGAACUGUAAGGCUAGAGUGUCGGAGAGGCAGGUGGAAUUCCUGGUGUAGCGGUGAAAUCCGUAGAUAUUAGGAGGAACACCAGUGGCGAAGGCGGCCAGCUGGACGAUGACUGACGCUGAGGCGCGAAAGCGUGGGUAGCAAACAGGAUUAGAUACCCGAGUAGUC